Molecule: transfer RNA, 76 nt
Filed under: Methylobacterium tardum
Lineage: Bacteria; Pseudomonadati; Pseudomonadota; Alphaproteobacteria; Hyphomicrobiales; Methylobacteriaceae
Description: tRNA-Phe
Rfam family: tRNA
About the family: Transfer RNA (tRNA) molecules are approximately 80 nucleotides in length. Their secondary structure includes four short double-helical elements and three loops (D, anti-codon, and T loops).
Source: RNAcentral
GCCCCGGCAGCUGACCCGGUGAUAGCGCCACGCUGAAAACGUGGAGAGAGACGUUCGACUCGUCUCCGGGGCACCA